RNAcentral lists this ribosomal RNA (497 nucleotides) under uncultured bacterium. Its description in RNAcentral is "partial 16S ribosomal RNA". It matches the Rfam family "Bacterial small subunit ribosomal RNA", at positions 28 to 507 of the family's 1533-position model. The record is from RNAcentral.
GACGAACGCUGGCGGCGUGCCUAAUACAUGCAAGUUGAGCGCUGAAGGUUGGUACUUGUACCAACUGGAUGAGCAGCGAACGGGUGAGUAACGCGUGGGGAAUCUGCCUUUGAGCGGGGGACAACAUUUGGAAACGAAUGCUAAUACCGCAUAAAAACUUUAAACACAAGUUUUAAGUUUGAAAGAUGCAAUUGCAUCACUCAAAGAUGAUCCCGCGUUGUAUUAGCUAGUUGGUGAGGUAAAGGCUCACCAAGGCGAUGAUACAUAGCCGACCUGAGAGGGUGAUCGGCUACAUUGGGACUGAGACACGGCCCAAACUCCUACGGGAGGCAGCAGUAGGGAAUCUUCGGCAAUGGACGAAAGUCUGACCGAGCAACGCCGCGUGAGUGAAGAAGGUUUUCGGAUCGUAAAACUCUGUUGGUAGAGAAGAACGUUGGUGAGAGUGGAAAGCUCAUCAAGUGACGGUAACUACCCAGAAAGGGACGGCUAACUACGUG